RNAcentral lists this ribosomal RNA (252 nucleotides) under Triticum aestivum (bread wheat). RNAcentral describes it as "partial small subunit ribosomal RNA". Lineage: Eukaryota; Viridiplantae; Streptophyta; Magnoliopsida; Poales; Poaceae. The record is from RNAcentral.
AUGUACUGGGAUGACAAGUACGGAACACAUAGCGUGUCCCCAGAGGUCAUAUCAAACAUGAGAGUAUUGAUGACAGAAGACUCCAACAAUCCUGUAAGCAAUUCGUUUCUACUGGAUGAUGACUCAAGCAUACCGUUCUCCGUCGAUGACAUAUCCAAAUCAAUGCAGCAGAUUGACAUAUCUGACAUCGAACCGCCCCCACUCAUCCGGGAGAACUCGGGCUUUGUAUUCUUGUUGCCGCCCCCUGAAUAA